RNAcentral lists this ribosomal RNA (889 nucleotides) under uncultured bacterium. RNAcentral's name for it is "bacterial SSU rRNA". It matches the Rfam family "Bacterial small subunit ribosomal RNA", at positions 8 to 853 of the family's 1533-position model. The record is from RNAcentral.
AGAGUUUGAUCCUGGCUCAGGAUGAACGCUGGCGGCGUGCCUAAUACAUGCAAGUCGAACGAAUCUUGGUGAAUGAAUUGGAGUGCUUGCACAAAGAGACAUUUACAAUGAGAUGAGUGGCGGACGGGUGAGUAACACGUGGGUAACCUGCCCUGAAGUGGGGGAUAACAUUUGGAAACAGAUGCUAAUACCGCAUAACAAUGAGAGUCACAUGACUUUUAUUUGAAAGAUGGAGCAAUCUAUCACUUCAGGAUGGACCUGCGGCGUAUUAGCUAGUUGGUAAGGUAAAGGCUUACCAAGGCGAUGAUACGUAGCCGACUUGAGAGAGUGAUCGGCCACAUUGGGACUGAGACACGGCCCAAACUCCUACGGGAGGCAGCAGUAGGGAAUCUUCCACAAUGGACGAAAGUCUGAUGGAGCAACGCCGCGUGAGUGAAGAAGGGUUUCGGCUCGUAAAACUCUGUUAUUGGAGAAGAAGGAUAAGGUAAGUAACUGUACUUUAUUUGACGGUACCCAACCAGAAAGUCACGGCUAACUACGUGCCAGCAGCCGCGGUAAUACGUAGGUGGCAAGCGUUAUCCGGAUUUAUUGGGCGUAAAGCGAGUGCAGGCGGUUUUAUAAGUCUGAUGUGAAAGCCCUCGGCUCAACCGAGGAACUGCAUCAGAAACUGUGAGACUUGAGUGCAGAAGAGGAGAGUGGAACUCCAUGUGUAGCGGUGGAAUGCGUAGAUAUAUGGAAGAACGCCAGUGGCGAAGGCGGCUCUCUGGUCUGUAACUGACGCUGAGGCUCGAAAGCAUGGGUAGCGAACAGGAUUAGAUACCCUGGUAGUCCAUGCCGUAAACGAUGAGUGCUAAGUGUUGGGGGGUUUCCGCCCCUCAGUGCUGCAGCU